Molecule: long non-coding RNA, 1239 nt
Organism: Hemibagrus wyckioides
Lineage: Eukaryota; Metazoa; Chordata; Actinopteri; Siluriformes; Bagridae
Exons: 4
Source: RefSeq, a predicted model, not a curated record
UACCCGCGCCGGGGAGGAAGUUUCUGCCGGUAGGGAUUAUGCGCAGUUUCCUCAGCCCGGGAGCUUCGGCCUUGUCCCCUCCCACUGCCGAAAAAGCAGUGAUUCCACAAAAUGAGCAGGAGGGGGAAAGCAGAGCGCCGCAAACUUAAACCUGCUCUUCUCGCCACCAGGCAGUGCCCGGAGGUUUUUUCCGCUCUCUUUCUUUAUAUAUUUAUUUAUUUACUCUCAAGCUCUGCUUGAGAUCGCAUCACACUACAUUUUCAGUAGGAAACGACAAACGUUUCGGCCAUGUUCGCAGCACCGUGGUACAGAAGUGCAUUGUAUUGGGACCCGAGUAAGGAAGGAGGGAGCGAGGGAGGAGGAGGAGGAGGAGGAGGGUGCUGGAGAAGCACACAGCUGCACGGCACACAGAAGCCGGUUUCCCAACCCUGACAGCAAGGGAGUGAGUGAACAAGGGGCCUCGCUUCAGCAGCUCCGUCCAGGAGAGAGAUUUCCUUUCUUUCUUUCUCUCUUUUUUUUUGUUUGUUUUUUGUUUGUUUGUUUUUUUAAAUGCUCCAAAAUGCAGAAUGGAUCAGGACGAGAAAGAGGAUUUUUUUUCUCUUCUCCAUGGUUGGCUACUCUUAACCACUACAUGUGAUGAGCAUCAGCGUAUGAGUCAAGUCCGCAGUUGUUCUACGUCAGGAAUAGAAAGUUAAGAAGUCACCUUGUUUAGCAUUCAGGUUUGGUCCACCUUAAGCACUGCGCUGCUGAAAAAUACGCAGUUUCUCCAGAUGCAAAGGAGCAUUCUCUCUGAAGUCUGUUCCCAGAAAUCAGAAAUCCAGAGCAACGUAAAGGCUUUUCCACUGCAACCAUGCAUAAGUCAUGUAGCCCUAUCCCUUUCACCUGCGGCAGGACGUGUAAGUCACAUGGUAGGGACUGUGUGUGUGUGUGUGUGUGUAGUAUGGAAAGCAAAGCUGGUAAGUACUGCAUAUACAGAAGACUCACAGGCACACUUGAGUGUAUUCAUCAUAUCAAACAGGAGGCAAGAGGUGGUUGAGUUCAGUGUCUCAGACACACACACACACCCACACACACACACACACAGGCCUAUGCAUAAUAACAAACUUGUUAGGCAAGUACAACUUGUACUAUUACCUGGUCUUUAAGCUAAUUAUGAAAUAAACUAAUAAUUUAUACACAGUUAUGUAUACAACAUGUCUAUGAACUUGCAAAACCAUCAAUAAAGUAUAAUGGAAAUAA